This 1423-nucleotide ribosomal RNA is filed under the name Staphylococcus aureus. RNAcentral describes it as "bacterial SSU rRNA". It matches the Rfam family "Bacterial small subunit ribosomal RNA". Lineage: Bacteria; Bacillati; Bacillota; Bacilli; Caryophanales; Staphylococcaceae. The record is from RNAcentral.
AACACGUGGAUAACCUACCUAUAAGACUGGGAUAACUUCGGGAAACCGGAGCUAAUACCGGAUAAUAUUUUGAACCGCAUGGUUCAAAAGUGAAAGACGGUCUUGCUGUCACUUAUAGAUGGAUCCGCGCUGCAUUAGCUAGUUGGUAAGGUAACGGCUUACCAAGGCAACGAUGCAUAGCCGACCUGAGAGGGUGAUCGGCCACACUGGAACUGAGACACGGUCCAGACUCCUACGGGAGGCAGCAGUAGGGAAUCUUCCGCAAUGGGCGAAAGCCUGACGGAGCAACGCCGCGUGAGUGAUGAAGGUCUUCGGAUCGUAAAACUCUGUUAUUAGGGAAGAACAUAUGUGUAAGUAACUGUGCACAUCUUGACGGUACCUAAUCAGAAAGCCACGGCUAACUACGUGCCAGCAGCCGCGGUAAUACGUAGGUGGCAAGCGUUAUCCGGAAUUAUUGGGCGUAAAGCGCGCGUAGGCGGUUUUUUAAGUCUGAUGUGAAAGCCCACGGCUCAACCGUGGAGGGUCAUUGGAAACUGGAAAACUUGAGUGCAGAAGAGGAAAGUGGAAUUCCAUGUGUAGCGGUGAAAUGCGCAGAGAUAUGGAGGAACACCAGUGGCGAAGGCGACUUUCUGGUCUGUAACUGACGCUGAUGUGCGAAAGCGUGGGGAUCAAACAGGAUUAGAUACCCUGGUAGUCCACGCCGUAAACGAUGAGUGCUAAGUGUUAGGGGGUUUCCGCCCCUUAGUGCUGCAGCUAACGCAUUAAGCACUCCGCCUGGGGAGUACGACCGCAAGGUUGAAACUCAAAGGAAUUGACGGGGACCCGCACAAGCGGUGGAGCAUGUGGUUUAAUUCGAAGCAACGCGAAGAACCUUACCAAAUCUUGACAUCCUUUGACAACUCUAGAGAUAGAGCCUUCCCCUUCGGGGGACAAAGUGACAGGUGGUGCAUGGUUGUCGUCAGCUCGUGUCGUGAGAUGUUGGGUUAAGUCCCGCAACGAGCGCAACCCUUAAGCUUAGUUGCCAUCAUUAAGUUGGGCACUCUAAGUUGACUGCCGGUGACAAACCGGAGGAAGGUGGGGAUGACGUCAAAUCAUCAUGCCCCUUAUGAUUUGGGCUACACACGUGCUACAAUGGACAAUACAAAGGGCAGCGAAACCGCGAGGUCAAGCAAAUCCCAUAAAGUUGUUCUCAGUUCGGAUUGUAGUCUGCAACUCGACUACAUGAAGCUGGAAUCGCUAGUAAUCGUAGAUCAGCAUGCUACGGUGAAUACGUUCCCGGGUCUUGUACACACCGCCCGUCACACCACGAGAGUUUGUAACACCCGAAGCCGGUGGAGUAACCUUUUAGGAGCUAGCCGUCGAAGGUGGGACAAAUGAUUGGGGUGAAGUCGUAACAAGGUAGCCGUAUCGGAAGGUGCGGCUG